UGGGGAAUAUUGCACAAUGGGCGCAAGCCUGAUGCAGCCAUGCCGCGUGUAUGAUGAAGGCCUUCGGGUUGUAAAGUACUUUCAGCGGGGAGGAAGGGAGUUAAGUUAAUACCUUUGCUCAUUGACGUUACCCGCAGAAGAAGCACCGGCUAACUCCGUGCCAGCAGCCGCGGUAAUACGGAGGGUGCAAGCGUUAAUCGGAAUUACUGGGCGUAAAGCGCACGCAGGCGGUUUGUUAAGUCAGAUGUGAAAUCCCCGGGCUCAACCUGGGAACUGCAUCUGAUACUGGCAAGCUUGAGUCUCGUAGAGGGGGGUAGAAUUCCAGGUGUAGCGGUGAAAUGCGUAGAGAUCUGGAGGAAUACCGGUGGCGAAGGCGGCCCCCUGGACGAAGACUGACGCUCAGGUGCGAAAGCGUGGGGAGCAAACAGG
Molecule: ribosomal RNA, 429 nt
Filed under: Chloroflexota bacterium
Lineage: Bacteria; Bacillati; Chloroflexota
Description: Chloroflexi bacterium partial 16S ribosomal RNA
Rfam family: Bacterial small subunit ribosomal RNA
Source: RNAcentral